GACGGAAGGUGCAAGCGUUGUUCGGAAUCACUGGGCUUAAAGGGCGCGUAGGCGGGCAUUCAAGUCUGUGGUGAAAUCCUCCAGCUCAACUGGAGAACUGCCAUGGAUACUGGGUGUCUCGAGGGUGGUAGGGGUAUGCGGAACUAUCGGUGGAGCGGUGAAAUGCGUUGAUAUCGAUAGGAACUCCGGUGGCGAAGGCGGCAUACUGGACCACAUCUGACGCUGAGGCGCGAAAGCCAGGGGAGCGAACGGG
RNAcentral lists this ribosomal RNA (253 nucleotides) under uncultured bacterium. RNAcentral describes it as "partial 16S ribosomal RNA". It matches the Rfam family "Bacterial small subunit ribosomal RNA", at positions 524 to 776 of the family's 1533-position model. The record is from RNAcentral.